RNAcentral lists this long non-coding RNA (631 nucleotides) under Bos indicus x Bos taurus (hybrid cattle). Its description in RNAcentral is "lncRNA (ENSBIXG00000001976.1)". Lineage: Eukaryota; Metazoa; Chordata; Mammalia; Artiodactyla; Bovidae. The record is from RNAcentral.
GAAUAUAUGUCUUUUAAAUAUUGGCUUUUACUCCUGAGAAGUAAAUGUACCUUCUCUACACAGCUGAAAAUUCACAAUUUGCCUUUUGUCUGUAGGCUUUGGUAUCUCUAUUGACAUAACACAUCUUAUUCUAAUGGAAUCAUGGGAGUAUCACCUAUGACAGCCUGGUUACUUGCUCAGGUUAAAUGGCCUUCCUUGCCAGUGGCCCAUCCUAUAGGUCUUCAGGAGCAGAAGCCAUCAUGAUGCUUCAAAGUACUUAUUAUCUACAAAGUACAGCCAAAUUGGGCUUCUCUGGUGGCACUACUGGUAAAGAACCCACUUGCAAAUGCAGGAGAUGUAAGAGAGUGAUGCAGGUUUGAACCUUGGGUCAGGAAGAUCUCCUGGAGGAAGACAUGGCAACCCACUGCAGUAUUCUUGCCUGGAGAAUCCCAUGGGCAAAGGAGCCUGGCGGGCUGCAGUCCAUGGGGAGUGACUGCAGACUGCAGAGAGUCAGGCAUGACUGAAGCGCUAUAGCAUGCAUCACACACAGCUGAAUUACAAUCCAGAACACUGAAAAGAGAGUUCCAGAAAAACAUCUACUUUUGCUUUAUUGACAAUGCCAAAGCCUUUGACUGUGUGGAUCACCACAAAC